This 253-nucleotide ribosomal RNA is filed under the name uncultured bacterium. Its description in RNAcentral is "partial 16S ribosomal RNA". It matches the Rfam family "Bacterial small subunit ribosomal RNA", at positions 524 to 776 of the family's 1533-position model. The record is from RNAcentral.
UACGGAGGGUGCGAGCGUUGUCCGGAAUUAUUGGGCGUAAAGGGUAGGUAGGUGGUAAUAAAAGUCUGGGGUGAAAUCCCUGAGCUCAACUCAGGACGUGCCUUGGAAACUUUAUUACUAGAGUGCUGGAGAGGUCCGCAGAAUUCCCGGUGUAGCGGUGAAAUGCGUAGAGAUCGGGAGGAAUACCAGAGGCGAAGGCGGCGGACUGGACAGUCACUGACACUCAACUACGAAAGCGUGGGUAGCAAACAGG